This 351-nucleotide unclassified non-coding RNA is filed under the name soil metagenome. RNAcentral's name for it is "partial contains 5.8S ribosomal RNA, internal transcribed spacer 2, and large subunit ribosomal RNA". The stretch from base 5 to 119 matches the Rfam family "5.8S ribosomal RNA", at positions 40 to 154 of the family's 154-position model. The record is from RNAcentral.
GAUGAGAACGUAGCGAAAUGCGAUAAGUAAUGUGAAUUGCAGAAUUCAGUGAAUCAUCGAAUCUUUGAACGCACAUUGCGCCCGCCAGUAUUCUGGCGGGCAUGCCUGUUCGAGCGUCAUUACAACCCUCAGGCCCCCGGGCCUGGCGUUGGGGAUCGGCAGAAGCCCCCUGUGGGCACACGCCGUCCCUCAAAUACAGUGGCGGUCCCGCCGCAGCUUCCAUUGCGUAGUAGCUAACACCUCGCAACUGGAGAGCGGCGCGGCCAUGCCGUAAAACACCCAACUUCUGAAUGUUGACCUCGAAUCAGGUAGGAAUACCCGCUGAACUUAAGCAUAUCAAUAAGCGGAGGA